UAGGGAAUCUUCCACAAUGGACGCAAGUCUGAUGGAGCAACGCCGCGUGAGUGAAGAAGGUCUUCGGAUCGUAAAGCUCUGUUGUUGGUGAAGAAGGAUAGAGGCAGUAACUGGUCUUUAUUUGACGGUAAUCAACCAGAAAGUCACGGCUAACUACGUGCCAGCAGCCGCGGUAAUACGUAGGUGGCAAGCGUUGUCCGGAUUUAUUGGGCGUAAAGCGAGCGCAGGCGGAAUGAUAAGUCUGAUGUGAAAGCCCACGGCUCAACCGUGGAACUGCAUCGGAAACUGUCAUUCUUGAGUGCAGAAGAGGAGAGUGGAACUCCAUGUGUAGCGGUGGAAUGCGUAGAUAUAUGGAAGAACACCAGUGGCGAAGGCGGCUCUCUGGUCUGCAACUGACGCUGAGGCUCGAAAGCAUGGGUAGCGAACAGGAUUAGAUACCCUGGUAGUCCAUGCCGUAAACGAUGAGCGCUAGGUGUUGGGGACUUUCCGGUCCUCAGUGCCGCAGCAAACGCAUUAA
Molecule: ribosomal RNA, 517 nt
Filed under: uncultured bacterium
Lineage: Bacteria
Description: partial 16S ribosomal RNA
Rfam family: Bacterial small subunit ribosomal RNA
Source: RNAcentral